This 105-nucleotide ribosomal RNA is filed under the name Candidatus Aminicenantota bacterium. The record is from RNAcentral. Lineage: Bacteria; Candidatus Aminicenantota.
CGACGAGGUUGAUAGGCUAAACCUCUUCCCAUUCCGAACUCGGAAGUUAAGCCCUCCAGUGCCGAUGGUACUGCGGGGGAACCCCGUGGGAGAGUAGGUCGUUGC